This is a long non-coding RNA of Motacilla alba alba, 3571 nucleotides long. RefSeq lists it as uncharacterized. The transcript is spliced from 3 exons. NCBI's taxonomy places the organism in Eukaryota, Metazoa, Chordata, Aves, Passeriformes, Motacillidae. The record is from RefSeq and is a predicted model, not a curated record.
UUUUAGCUAAUAUGAGCACUGUGCCCAAAUCUUUCUCCUGUCUAGAAAUGUUCCGUUCAUAUCCCUGAAGAGCUGCUUUAAAGCCACUUUCUGCACGUGGCAGGAACUUUGAUUUGAUCAUUAUCUUAACAAUUAAAUUUUUACCUGGGGAUUAUCGAUAAUGCUGUUGGCACCUUAACAUCUUGAUGUUUCUGUGGCCCUUUAAAACUUUGUCAAUGCUCUUCUGUUUGACAUUUCAAAUCUCUUCCUCUCCUUUGGCUCUUGCCACGAAUUGGCUGUGGUGCUGUCCACUUUUCCCAAAGGGAGAAUCUGCUUAGCUAUUCCUAGGAGGUCGCUGAGCCUGCUUAAACACAAACAUAUUGCCCCAUUUAAUCAGUUUCUUGAUCUUGUAUUUCUUGUUAUCUAUUUGUUUUCUACUUUAGUAGUUAUUGCAAGUAGCCCGAGGAAAUAUUAAACUGGUGAAGCUCUUCUGCUUCUAGGUCAUUGGUUUUCAUCUAUAUAAAGUUGAUCAGAAUCAGACAGUAAAUCUAUACAGAGAAAAGGUGAUUUCUAACCAGUGGAUGGUGUGAAUUUAUAUCUAUUAAAAUAUACACGUUGACUGUAUAAUCUAAAGGGGUUACAUCCACACUCAUUGAAUUUAAUGACAGAACUUCAGUUUCUUGUGCUUGGGAGCAGGUUCAGACUUGACUCUGCAGAUGACAAAGAUGCACAUGCAAAUUGUCUUGUAAUUUUUCUUGUUUUCAUACCUUGGACUACCAUAUAUUUCUGUUUGACUCCUUUCAUAAUGCACGCAACUUAGAUUAAGUGUUCCACCUUAAAAUCGGAUUCCAUUAAAACAACACCAAGCUUAAUAUUUUUUUAGUUAUUCCCUGCAAAGAAAUUUCACCCGACAAAUUUAUUUUUUAAAAUUUUAUUUGCUAGUCUGACAAACACAAAAACUUCUCUUACCAUUGCACCAACUAUUCCCUAUUAGUAGAAAGGUUCUGUGUGCCCCACUAGGAUUCUUCCCAUGACAUUGGUACUUCAAGAUUCCUUGUAUGGGAUACACCAUUGAUGCCAUGAUUUCUUGCAGCAUUUUAUGUAGACAGACCUUGUUUUAAUGGAAAGCAUUCUGGUGAUAUUGCUUACCACGUGCAGGGUCCAGGCUGUUGAUCUCAUGUCCCUCUAUCCUACAGAGAAAAAUGAAUUCUGACUUUGUGCUUCACUUAUAUCUGUAAAACUUUUUUCUUCCUUUUUUUUUUUUUUUUUUUUUUUGCCAACAGAAAAACAAAGAAACCUUUUAAAGCUCCAUGCUUUCUGAGACAUAUUUCAGUGUUGGUUUUGUGCUGUUCCAGUCCUUUGCUGAUAAUCCAAUCAAGCCAGCUUGUAACUGAGAAAGUAACAGUAGUGUCACCAGACUGCAAUCUGUCAAGCCCUCCUAAAAACCUUCUUUAAUUGCUUGUGUAGCCUUUCUGUCUCCUUAAGAGUCCCUGGGCUGCAUCCCUACUGCAUUUUGAUAAAAGCUCUCCCCAUGCCCUCUGUGACUGUCAAUACUUGCAUGAGAACACAGAGGAACUUUCUGAGGACUCCAGAAAGUGCAGGGCAUCUCUCUUUGUGAACCCACAAAACCAAAAGAUGUAAAUUAAAGUUGUGGAAGAGUUCUUGGAUGUGUGUUUGCCAUUUCCCUCCUGGGAGCUGCUGCCUUAUUUUCAGCUUUUUUUUUAAGCUGUGUGCUGAAGUUGCACAGGCCUGUCCCUGAGAAGUUCCCCCGUGUUUUACCUUACAAGUGUGAUUUUUGGAGGCCUCCUUGAGUUAUUUUGGCUGCAGCUGAAGUGACUUCAGGUUAAGUAAGGACUUAGAUGACAUCACAACAUUUCCUCAAAUGGUGGCAUCAAAGUGCCCUGUUUGCCAAAACAUCACUGCUGUGUUAAUCUUCUUCCCACUUCAAUAAAGAACCUUUCAUUCAGCAGCUAAUUUGACCUUGGAAAAUCUGCAAAGCUCAUUUUCUUCAGCUGCAAUAAAGCCCCAGUCCUUUCUGUCUUGUUACAUAACAAUCCCACACAACGCUUGAAUUUUACUUCAGAUGAAAUAUCUCUUCCCAUUGCUUUAGUAUAUUCACUCGCCUAUUUCUUAUCACCUUUUUCAGCCAGGGGAACUUUGAAUUGAUUUUAUUAAUAUGUAUAUAUCUAGAAGGAACCAAAACAUUGAUUUUUCUAUACUUGGGUUUCAAGUAUACAAAGAGUUGGUCAAAUUUUAGCUUCAUGGAAAAUUUCAGUGAAAAAAAAUACAUGCAUACAGAUUGUUAACUCUUGCCCAAAAAGGCUUUGUUGGUCUGCUUAGUUUUUAGUUCUUGAAAAUAAAAAUACACAGAUGUUUUACACUUGCCCAAAAGGGUUGGUUUGCUUUGUUUUACUAAUGAAAAUAAAAUAAACAGAAUAAAGCCGGAAUAUUUUAAUUUGGAAAUACCACUGUAGUUCUCAUUAGAAUUCUUUUCCAACGCUUCUAAUCAAGUAAAAUUUUUUCUUUCAGAAAAUAUUUGCUGUAAUGUCUAAGUUCCCUUCUUAGGUAAUAUAUCUUAAUAAGAAUUCUGCAUUAUUACAUGUGAUGGGAAAAGACAGUGACCACGAGUCUUUGGAGUGACAGACGACAUGACUUGGACCCUUGGAAGGUCUGUGAUGGUAAAGUAUUUUUACUGUGGUAAGUAAAACUACAUUUUUGAUACUAAGGAAAAAAUAAUGCUGAUACAUUCAUCUUGUUGAAAACAUAUUUUUCUGACAGGGAAAAAAAAAUGGGAAAUUUUCAUUAAUUUUAAAAUAAAAUUAUUCUUAUUUUAAAUUACUGCAAUGAGAAUCUUAUGAACAUUUUUUAACCUCCUUUUAAAGUGCCAACAAAUAUUAAUUAUGACAUGAGGUACUCUACUCCACAGCAGAUAUCUGUCUUGUGCUUUAACUCUAUUCCUGGCAAGAACCUCUAGAACUUUGAUUAUUCAUAAGAUGAAAUUUAAUCCUUUCAGCCAUAGGUGCAAUAACAGUUUUGUUCCUAGAACAGAAUUUUCUACAGAUAUGGUGAGUUUACAUAAAUAUUUAAGACUAUCAAAGAAGCACAGAAAAUUACAAAAAAACUCUCUGAAAAAUGGGUGUUAGGUUCUCACCAUCCUACCUGCAUACAAGUUUAUUCUUCACACUAGUUGAUGCUAGCAUGAAUCUUAUUUCACAGUGAAAGUAUCUGGCACAAAGAGAUAUCAUAAAUCUUUAGGGUUUAUUUUGUUAACAGAUUGACAAUUUAACUUUUACAGAGUUUUGGUUUUGUUUUGUUUUUCAGUGUUAUUUAACAGGCUGAGGAACUCUUGAUUCAGGAACUCAAGGAAUCUCCUCAGGAAAUAAAAGUAUCCCAGAUGCUAACACACCUGGUAACACAUUUAGAGGGCUGGCCUCUCACAGCAACAUAGCUUCCAGUUCACGUGUGUGGAAGUGGCCAGGGCAGAGAAUGGGCUCCAUGCCACCCAGAGAUACUCUUCCCUUGCAAUUUGGUGCUUCACACAUGAGCCUGUUCAUAGCUCCACAGGACCCCUCUCCUGGGAUUUAAAACGAAA